CCUACGGGGGGCAGCAGUAGGGAAUAUUGGACAAUGGGCGAAAGCCUGAUCCAGCCAUGCCGCGUGAUAGAUGAAGGCCUCUGGGUUGUAAAUAUCUUUUAUCUGGGAAGCGGUACCAGAGGAAUAAGCACCGGCUAACUCCGUGCCAGCAGCCGCGGUAAUACGGAGUGUGCAAGCGUUAUCCGGAUUCACUGGGUUUAAAGGGUGCGUAGGCGGGCUGAUAAGUCAGUGGUGAAAGCUCCGAGCUUAACUUGGAAACUGCCAUUGAUACUGCCAGUCUUGAAUGUCGUAGAGGUAAGCGGAAUGUUGCAUGUAGCGGUGAAAUGCUUAGAUAUGUUACAGAACACCAAUUGCGAAGGCAGCUUACUAUGCGAUAUUGACGCUGAGGCACGAAAGCGUGGGGAGCAAACAGGAUUAGAUACCCUUGUAGUC
This 432-nucleotide ribosomal RNA is filed under the name uncultured bacterium. Its description in RNAcentral is "partial 16S ribosomal RNA". It matches the Rfam family "Bacterial small subunit ribosomal RNA", at positions 338 to 795 of the family's 1533-position model. The record is from RNAcentral.